Molecule: long non-coding RNA, 2123 nt
Organism: Equus quagga
Lineage: Eukaryota; Metazoa; Chordata; Mammalia; Perissodactyla; Equidae
Exons: 4
Source: RefSeq, a predicted model, not a curated record
CUCCCCGCCCCCCAGGACUGCUCAGUUCCCCGCGGGGCACAGAGAGGAGGGGCUGGAGGUCUCGGGGUUCCUCCCCAGACUUGCCCAGACUUAGCUGGCAGUUACGCAACGGGAGAGCGGGACCCGGGCGUGGUCCGUCUACGCCUGGACGCUUCUCCCUAAGAAUCUCGAGAAUUGGACACCUUUUCUGCAGUCUACCCCAGCGUGGCUAGGAGAAGAAUUUACCAACUCAAAUCUGGCCCAAGCGUGGACCGUCUAGAUAAGGAAGCGGAUCACAAAAACAAAUUGAAACUCGUCACUUCUUAUCAGGAAAUGUGUAAAAUGAGAAAAAGAAAGAGAGGACGGAGGCCAGAGCAGAAGCCAGUGGAGCCUGAGAAGGAGCUGCAGUGGAACAGAAGGAAGCCUCAGGUUGAGAUGAUGACAUUACAAGAUGAAAAUAGCAUGGAUCACUGGAAGCAAGCUGCCUUGGGGAGCCACUUGACCUGCAGUGGACGUUGCAUGAGAAAGAAAUGUACUUUUAAGUGAUCGGCCACUGACGUUCAGAUGAAGAGGAUAAAUGGGUCCAGAAAUAGGAAUUGUAUGAUGCUGGUGUAUGAUCUAUUGAUGCUGGACGUGGAGGAGAACCAAGAGUCAAGACAUGGAUUGAAAACGAAAAGAUGAAAAAGCUCACAAGAAGACAACAGGGGCCAGCUCCAAGGCUCAGUGUGUCUAGAGAAGAGGUGAAGUCCUCAGUGGCAGCCUGUUUCUUUUCGGUAAUAAUCUCCCUAGGUGCUGUAAUAGAGAGAAGGAAAUGAAACUGAGAAGGGGUAGAGAAAUUCUGCAGUGGUAACAGGUUUGUGUGCAACAUACGUAUCCUUCAUUUAGGAAGAAACCCUCGGAAUUAGGUGGAGCUGAUAUAAAAUAAGACCUGUGAACUCAAGAGGCCCACAGAAGGUGAACAUUUCCUUAGGGUUGAUAAUGGCCUGAGUAUAUUCACUCUGUGGUCAGGGGCAUGGAAGAGUUGGGCUGCUUAUUGUGUUCUUACUACGUGGACCAGAACAGAGUGGUUUGAGCCCCCUGAUCAGAAGAUAAAGAAAAGAGAAAACUUCAGCUGCUUUAUGUAACCCCAAUCUGGUACUCUCUGGCACAAAAUUCCCAAGGUAUUUGUGGAGGUUUCAGGGGUCCUCUGAAAGACGCCAAAGACUUUUCCAAAGGAAAUGAAGCAGUUGAGGUGAAGGGUCCAGUAAGCCAUUGCUUGCCGCUGUGCAUCUUGUACAGUGCAUAAAGACACCCAGAUAAGGGGCCCUACCUCCCCAUUGCCAAGCCUUGUGCUCUGCCUGAGACUUCAUCCACUCAGAGAGAAAGUUGGUCCACCUAGGGGGAACUCUUUCUAAAAUUUGCAUUAAGGCUUUAUAAAAGAUAGUGGUGACCCAGGGGUCCAGUCAUUUUUCUCUAAGGCCCAGCCAACACUUAUCCUCACACUAUGAACCCUAUAUAUAAGGCCAACAUUUAAUCUUUAAAUUUACUUAGGUAGACAAAAUAUUGUAUGCUUCUUACAUUACCACAGUUUGCUUAAAUCAUAAAAUUUAUUUAUAUGGUAAGAUUGUUUUAUCACAAAGAAUAUCAACUAGGUAUUAAUAAAAAAAAAUAAAAAUUUGUGUUUAGAUGAGAAAAUAAGCUCUUCUACUUUUAUUGAGUUUAUUUUUAUGUCAUUCUUUGGGGGAGAUAUCUUGACCCUAACUCUCAAAGGUUCAUUAAACCAGGCCAGUCUUCGUCUCUUUAAAUGUUACUUUAUGGUCCUGAAAUUCCUUUGGUUACUAAUCCUACAACAGUUCACCAGGGGAACUUAUUUGCAACAUUUGUCCCAAGAAGCUGCCUUCAUUUACUCAUGGGCUGGUAUUAUUUCAAAUGGAACACUGGAAUGUUGGAAAGUCACAUACCAGAAAGAUAAUAUAAGUUUGUGGUUAUAUAGGGCGCUUAGAGUUAACAAUCUUUGAGCAGCUGUAUGAGUGUACUAGCAGAGUAGACCUGGGUAAGCUCCCUGGCCUCCCUGUGCCUUAGUUUCUCGUUGUGAAAUUGAAUUUACCUUAUAUGGUUGCUACAGAAAUUAACUAAGAAAAGAAAUGUAAAGUGUUUAGGCCUCC